GAUGAACGCUAGCUACAGGCUUAACACAUGCAAGUCGAGGGGUAACGAGAGGAAAGCUUGCUUUCCUUGUCGACGACCGGCGCACGGGUGAGUAACGCGUAUCCAACCUGCCCCCAACUAGGGAAUAACCUUGCGAAAGUAAGACUAAUACCCUAUAAUUUCCUCAGAUGUCAUCUGACGAGGAAUAAAGAUUUAUCGGUUGUGGAUGGGGAUGCGUCUGAUUAGCGUGUUGGCGGGGUAACGGCCCACCAAGGCAACGAUCAGUAGGGGUUCGAAGAGGAAGGUCCCCGACAUUGGAGAUGAGACACGGUCCAAACUCCUACGGGAGGCAGCAGUGAGGAAGAGUGGGCAAUGGGCGGAAGCCUGAACCAGCCAAGUAGCGUGCAGGGUGGCGGCCCUAUGGGUUGUAAACUGCUUUUAUACAGGAAUAAAGUUAGCCACGUGUGGUUAUUUGUAGGUACUGUAUGAAUAAGGACCGGCUAAUUCCGUGCCAGCCGCCGCAGUAA
RNAcentral lists this ribosomal RNA (506 nucleotides) under uncultured bacterium. Its description in RNAcentral is "partial 16S ribosomal RNA". It matches the Rfam family "Bacterial small subunit ribosomal RNA", at positions 28 to 523 of the family's 1533-position model. The record is from RNAcentral.